This 2224-nucleotide ribosomal RNA is filed under the name Leptocylindrus danicus. RNAcentral's name for it is "partial Bacterial large subunit ribosomal RNA". It matches the Rfam family "Bacterial large subunit ribosomal RNA", at positions 1 to 2307 of the family's 2925-position model. Lineage: Eukaryota; Bacillariophyta; Leptocylindrophyceae; Leptocylindrales; Leptocylindraceae. The record is from RNAcentral.
GUUAAGUAAGGGCGUAUGGCGGAUGCCUAGGCUCUCAGAGGCGAAGAAGGACGUGAUAAGCUGCGAAAAGUUACGGGGAGAAGCACAUAUUUUAUGAUCCGUAAAUAUCCGAAUGGGGCAACCCGGUAUGUUGAAGACAUAUCACACCGUAAGGUGAGCAAACCCGGCGAACUGAAACAUCUAAGUAACCGGAGGAAGAGAAAACAAAAGUGAUUCCGUUAGUAGUGGCGAGCGAACGCGGAUUAGCCCAAACCAAUUUUGUUACGGCAAAGUUGGGGUUGUAGGACCACGAUAUUCGAAUCUAAGUGAACUAGAACUGUUUGGAAAGACAGACCAAAGAGGGUGAUAGUCCCGUAUGGGUAAGCGAAGAUAAGAUAGUGGUAUCCUGAGUAGCGCGGGGCACGUGGAACCUUGUGUGAAUCUACCAGGACCAUCUGGUAAGGCUAAAUACUCCUGAGAGACCGAUAGUGAACUAGUACCGUGAGGGAAAGGUGAAAAGAACCCUAAGAAAGGGAGUGAAAGAGAACCUGAAACCGUACGCUUACAAGCGGUCGGAGCCCAUUUACUGGGUGACGGCGUGCCUUUUGCAUAAUGAGCCUACGAGUUACUUUAUCUAGCAAGGUUAAGUAUUUAAGAUACGGAGCCGUAGCGAAAGCGAGUCUGAAUAGGGCGUUUAGUUAGGUUGAGUAGACGCGAAACCGAGUGAUCUACCCAUGGGCAGGUUGAAGCUGUGGUAACACACAGUGGAGGACCGAACCAGUUGACGUUGAAAAGUCUUUGGAUGACCUGUGGGUAGGGGUGAAAGGCCAAUCAAACUCCGUGAUAGCUGGUUCUCCCCGAAAUGCAUUUAGGUGCAGCGUUGAGUAAAAGUUUUAUAGAGGUAGAGCUACUGAUUGGAUGCGGGGGCUUCACCGCCUACCAAUUCCUGACAAACUCCGAAUGCUAUAAAAUGUUUCUCAGCAGUGAGGGCAUGGGUGCUAAGGUCCAUGUCCGAGAGGGAAAGAACCCAGACCAUCAGCUAAGGUCCCCAAAUAUAUACUAAGUUGAAUAAACGAGGUUUGACUGCCCAGACAGCUAGGAUGUUGGCUUGGAAGCAGCCAUUCAUUUAAAGAGUGCGUAACAGCUCACUAGUCGAGCGGUCGAGCAUGGAUAAUAAUCGGGCAUAAGUAUAUUACCGAAGCUAUGGACUUGUAAAAGUGGUAGGGGAGCAUUGUAGUUGUGUAGAAGGUGAACUGUGAGGUUUGCUGGAACGGCUACAAAAGAAAAUGUAGGCAUAAGUAACGAUAAAGGGGGCGAGAAACCCCCUCACCGAAAGACUAAGGUUUCCUCAGCGAUGCUAAUCAGCUGAGGGUUAGUCGGGACCUAAGGCGAACCCGAAAGGGGUAGUCGAUGGACAACGGGUUAAUAUUCCCGUACCUGCUCACACUAAAAGUGACGGAGGCGUGUAGUUAAUGCGUACUGACGGAAUAGUACGUUGAAGCCAGUGGUAACACGGCGAUAGUACACAGAAGCUUCGGCGGACGUGAUAAUUUAGCGAAGCGACUUCCAAGAAAAGCGAGUGAAGCAGCCCGUACCGUAAACCGACACAGGUAGUUGGGAUGAGAAUUCUAAGGUGCUCGAGAGAUUCAUGGCUAAGGAACUAGGCAAAAUAGACCUGUAACUUCGGGAGAAAGGUCGCCCCACUCCGGUGGGGCCGCAGUGAAAAGGUCCAGGCGACUGUUUAUCAAAAACACAGGGCUAUGCUAAAUUGAAAGAUGACGUAUAUGGCCUGACACCUGCCCGGUGCUGGAAGGUUAAGUGGAGGGUUUAGCUUCGGCGAAGAUCUGAAAUGAAGCCCCAGUAAACGGCGGCCGUAACUAUAACGGUCCUAAGGUAGCGAAAUUCCUUGUCAGGUAAGUUCUGACCCGCACGAAAGGCGUAACGAUUUGGGCACUGUCUCAACGAGAGACUCGGUGAAAUUGUAGUACCAGUGAAGAUGCUGGUUACCCGCGACAGGACGGAAAGACCCCAUGGAGCUUUACUGCAGGUUGAUAUUGAGUGUCUGUGUGACAUGUACAGGAUAGGUAGGAGCCAUUGAAGCCGGAACGCUAGUUUCGGUGGAGGCGCUGGUGGGAUACUACCCUUGUGACAUGGCCACUCUAACCCGCGACCGUAAUCCGGUCGGGAGACAGUGUCAGUCGGGCAGUUUGACUGGGGCGGUCGCCUCCUAAAAUGUAACGGAGGC